This 405-nucleotide ribosomal RNA is filed under the name uncultured bacterium. RNAcentral's name for it is "bacterial SSU rRNA". It matches the Rfam family "Bacterial small subunit ribosomal RNA", at positions 355 to 774 of the family's 1533-position model. The record is from RNAcentral.
UGGGGAAUAUUGGGCAAUGGGCGAAAGCCUGACCCAGCAACGCCGCGUGAAGGAAGAAGGUCUUCGGAUUGUAAACUUCCUUUAUGAGGGACGAAGGACGUGACGGUACCUCAUGAAUAAGCCACGGCUAACUACGUGCCAGCAGCCGCGGUAAUACGUAGGUGGCAAGCGUUAUCCGGAUUUACUGGGUGUAAAGGGCGCGUAGGCGGGGAUGCAAGUCAGAUGUGAAAUCUAUGGGCUUAACUCAUAAACUGCAUUUGAAACGGCAGCUCUUGAGUGCUGGAGAGGUAGACGGAAUUCCGUGUGUAGCGGUGAAAUGCGUAGAUAUAAGGAAGAACACCAGUGGCGAAGGCGGUCUACUGGACAGUAACUGUCGCUGAGGCGCGAGAGCGUGGGGAGCAAACA